AUUGAACGCUGGCGGAAUGCUUUACACAUGCAAGUCGAACGGCAGCACGGACUUCGGUCUGGUGGCGGGUGGCGAACGGGUGAGUAAUGUAUCGGAACGUGCCCAGUCGUGGGGGAUAACGUAGUGAAAAUUACGCUAAUACCGCAUACGAUCUAUGGCUGAAAGCGGGGGAUCGCAAGACCUCGCGCGAUUGGAGCGGCCGAUAUCAGAUUAGGUAGUUGGUGGGGUAAAGGCCCACCAAGCCAACGAUCUGUAGCUGGUCAGAGAGGACGACCAGCCACACUGGAACUGAGACACGGUCCAGACUCCUACGGGAGGCAGCAGUGGGGAAUUUUGGACAAUGGGCGAAAGCCUGAUCCAGCCAUUCCGCGCGCAGGAUGAAGGCCCUCGGGUUGUAAACUGCUUUUGUACAGAACGAAAAGGUUUCUACUAAUACUAGGAGCUCAUGACGGUACUGUAAGAAUAAGCACCGGCUAACUACGUGCCAGCCGCCGCGGUAA
This 500-nucleotide ribosomal RNA is filed under the name uncultured bacterium. RNAcentral describes it as "partial 16S ribosomal RNA". It matches the Rfam family "Bacterial small subunit ribosomal RNA", at positions 30 to 523 of the family's 1533-position model. The record is from RNAcentral.